Molecule: long non-coding RNA, 17317 nt
Filed under: Vitis vinifera (wine grape)
Lineage: Eukaryota; Viridiplantae; Streptophyta; Magnoliopsida; Vitales; Vitaceae
Description: long non-coding RNA (VVIN_LNC004863)
Source: RNAcentral
AGAAUUUGGGUUGAGAAACACCCAAAAGAUAGUGGCCCAAUACAUGUGCCUAAGAAAAUCUUCAUGAGCCGAUAAACAUAGUCACAAAACUAGUAACAGCCUUGUAGCCAUAGUUGGUGUAGUAUGAGCAAGUGGGGUAUGAAGUAGGUAGGUGAGUAUUGCAAUGAAAUUUCCAGCACUGCUUCCUGAAUUAAGAAAUCACAUACCCAAGUCUUAGUCGUCGUCGUCGUCGUACCGUGUGAGAACCGGGAAGAAUCUUUGCUCGUAGACUGGCUUUUGUAGUCUUUCUUUAACAAUUACAAGUUAUCUGAAUUCCCUUCAUCCUCCUAUAUAAUAUUGUUUUGGUCUUGUUCUUGUUGCAUUGUGGCUAGGCAUCUCCAUGGAAGGAAGGAGGAUGAAUCAAGUUCCUUUGUAUGAAUCAAUUUCUCUGCUCUUUUUUUUUUUCAAUCCUUGAAUCGAAUCAUUGCUUAGUUCUUGCUUUAAUUUCUCCAUUUUCUGUUGGGUCUUUGAUUGCAGGUUUAGCUCUGCAAGAGAACUGGGAAAUUUAAUUGUGACCUCCAAUCUAAUCGACUCUGCUUUGACUAAAAUUCUUGAGCUUCAAAGAGACCAAACAGCCUUGCUUUCCCCCGUUCAAUACAGAGUUUUUUUAUCCAUCUCCCAACUGCACAAUUGUAGCUUUUGUCUCUUCACCUGACUGCACUCAAAACCCUCUUCCUGGACAAGGAGAUUUAGUUCCCUCUCCUCUCUUUGACUUCCUCUGCACCGAAGAAUACAAGUCCGUCUCCAUUAACAGAGCUGCAUUAACCCUCUUUACCUCUCUCCACGAUCAUCUCUCUGGACUAAAAACUCAGGUCAAAAUAUGAUAGUUGUUUUUAUUUUCGUUUCCUUUUUGUUAACAAUUGUGAGACAUGAAACAGCUUGACCAUGAGAUCUCUCUCAUAGAGUCAAACUACCUGAAGAAGAAGAAGACGUUACACAUAUCCAUCUGCGUUGCAUCAUCGCAUUACCCAUUGAUCGGUUGUGAUUCAACUCUUAAUAGGAAGACAGUAGAACUGGUGUUGGUAUCUGUUUUUAGAUCAGCUUAUAUGUAUCUUGUUGCUAAAAAGGGAAUGUUUAGAAGUGAGAUUAAUGGGAUUAUUCUGACAUGGAUUUCAUAUGGUUACCUGUUUUGCAGUUGACUGUGAUUGAAGGUCAAUUAAUCAUCACUGGGCACUCCCUGGGAGGAGCCGUUGCUUCUCUCUUCACCUUAUGCCUGCUAGAUGAAAAUUUAUUAAAACCCAAAUGCCGCCCCUUUUGUAUCACCUUUGGUUCACCCCUCGUCGGCGGCUUUGGCCUCCAACACUCCAUAUGGAAUUCUUUCUUCCUGCAUGUAGUGUCUAACCAAGACCCAGUCCCCGGUCUCUUCCUCCCAUCUGGCAGAGGCAGAUCUACGCCCACAUCCUCCCAUUCACAAACUACCGGUUACAAGCCCUUUGGGACAUAUCUCUUGUGCUCUGAACUUGGUUGUGCUUGUUUUGACAACCCUGAUUUAAUUUUGGAAUUGCUGAAAGUCAUAUCAUCAGAGGUUGCCGGAGGAUUGCAGGAUGUUGAUUAUGGGGAGAUUUUAAGAAACCUCAAGGAGAGGGCAAUCUGCAAGGGACUUCCGCAGGUGGGUGAAAGGUUUGCAAAUCCAUUUUCAGCUGGGAUCAUCAUGGAACUUGAGACAAUUGGAUUUAAUCAAACAAAGGUAAACAGCUUUCUCCCAUCUAAUGAUGUUAUGGAACAUGGUUUACACCUCAUUAAAUACUGCAACAACUGCCCUAUUUAGAUUUACCUUCUUGUUCUUUGGGAUUUUCCAUAACUAGACUCAUUUUUUAAUUUCAUGGCAGCUGCUGCAGCAUAACAUUGAUAUCGAGACUGUGAUAAGCGCAAUGGAAGCGGAAGCAAGAAACCUAACCCAGAAAAAUAAAGCUUCCGAUGCCAAGAAACUGAAUGAAAUAAAAAUAGACAUGACCCGGCUAGAAUUGUAUAAGAAGAAUUCGAACAUGGGUUACUACGAUUGCUUCAAAAACCAGGGGUCUAAAAGGGACAUCCACGUUGAACAGUUUAGGGUAAACCUCACAGGGUACUGGGAAGGCAUGGUUGCACAAAUACAGAGGAAGCCUCAUAAGGAAGGAGCAACAUUUCGAACCCGUUGGCUCUAUGCAGGGACGGUUUAUAGAAGAAUGGUUGAACCACUGGACAUUGCUGCCUUCUACAGAGAGGGUAGAAAAGACUACAUGAAUAAAAGAUCUGCACAUUACAAGCUGUUGCAGGAAUGGUAUGAGGAAGAUGUGAAACCCCCCUCUAGAGAUAAGCUUGAUUCCAAGAAGCAAAAGGUGUCCAGUAUCCUAACUGAGGAUUCUUGCUUUUGGGCACAUGUGGAGGAGGCUAUCUUGUCAUGCGAAUUGCUCAAGAGUGAAAACUGUAAUCUUGAGGAGGGAAAAUCAUCAUGGGAUAAUCUGGUUAAGUUCGAGGAGUAUGUAAUGGAACAGAUUGACAACUAUGCAGUGUCCCCUGAGAUUUUCUUGGAGAAAAGCAGCUUCAUGAAAUGGAGGGGACUGUAUGAGGGCUACAUAGAUACUCGCAGUAAUUCCCAUAGCUCGCCAUUGAUCAGCUUUAUGAAGAAUCGUAGUUAUAGACAAUAUGGAUAGAGGGGUAAUCCAGUUUGUGUGUUGUGUGUAUUGUUUUGUGAGCAUUCAAUGGAUAGAACUAGAAAGAGUGUGACCUUUUCCUUUUUUUUUUCAGUUGCUGCCCAUAUUCUCAGCACUAUUUUCUUCCUUCUUUUCCUCAGUUUUUUUGUUAAGAAAUGAAUAUUAUGAUGUUGCCGGGAUGCACUUUCAUUUUUGUUCCAUUACAUUGUGUUUUAUUCAUAUCCUAAACAAAUAAAUGUAAACAAGAAAAUCAAAUGAGACUUCAAAGAGUCUGUUCCUUUUAAAGCAAGGGAAAAAAAGGACAUGUUUGUUUACUUCCACAGCUGGGUAGAUUCAACUCCACCAAAAUUGGCAACAACUUCCCAUUGAAAAAUUCCUUUUAAGCUUGAAUGACAUAAAACUAGAUAUGUUCCAGCUAGAAUGGUACAAGAAAGAAAUCAAAAGAUGAGCACAAUGGGUUAUUAUGACAGCUUUAGAAACCUGGGGUGUAAAAGAGACAUUAAAAUGGAACCGAGGGGAAGACAUUGUAGAACAAGUAAAGAGGAAGCCUCACCAGGAAGGGCAGCUUUGCAAACCCUCUGGCUCUGUACAGGAACGAAUUAUAGAAAGAUGGUUGAACCACUUGACAUUGCUGCCUACCACAGAGAGGGUGGAAGAAACUACAUAACCAAUGGAGGAUGUAAACAUUACACGCUAUUAGAGCAAUGAUGCAAUGAAGAGAAGGGGACUUUGUCUUCCAAUAAUUUAAGAAAAUAAAACCAAAUAAUGCCAGAAUUUGGGUUGAGAAACACCCAAAAGAUAGUGGCCCAAUAUGAAGUAGUCACAAAACUAGUAACAGCCUUGUGGCCAUAGUUGGUGUAGUAUGAGCAAGUGGGGUAUGAAGUAGGUAGGUGAGUAUUGCAAUGAAAUUUCCAGCACUGCUUCCUGAAUUAAGAAAUCACAUACUCAAGUCUUAAUCGUUGUCAUCAUACCGUGUGAGAACCGAGGAAGAAUCUUUGCUCUUAGACUGGAUUUUGUAGUCUUUCUUUAACAAUUACAAGUUAUCUGAAUUCCCUUCAUCCUCCUAUAUAAUAUUGUUUUUGGUCUUGUUCUUGUUGCAUUGUGGCUAGGCAUCUCCAUGGGAGGAAGGAGGAUGAAUCAAGUUCCUUUGUAUGAAUCAAUUUCUCUGCUCUUUUUUUUUUCAAUCCUUGAAUCGAAUCAUUGCUUAGUUCUUGCUUUAAUUUCUCCAUUUUCUGUUGGGUCUUUGAUUGCAGGUUUAGCUCUGCAAGAAAACUGGGAAAUUUAAUUGUGACCUCCAAUCUAAUCGACUCUGCUUUGACUAAAAUUCUUGAGCUUCAAAGAGACCAAACAGCCUUGCCUUCCCCCGUUCAAUACAGAGUUUUUUAUCCAUCUCCCAACUGCACAAUUGUAGCUUUUGUCUCUUCACCUGACUGCACUCAAAACCCUCUUCCUGGACAAGGAGAUUUAGUUCCCUCUCCUCUCUUUGACUUCCUCUGCACCGAAGAAUACAAGUCCGUCUCCAUUAACAGAGCUGCAUUAACCCUCUUUACCUCUCUCCACGAUCAUCUCUCUGGACUAAAAACUCAGGUCAAAAUAUGAUAGUUGUUUUUAUUUUCGUUUCCUUUUUGUUAACAAUUGGGAGACAUGAAACAGCUUGACCAUGAGAUCUCUCUCAUAGAGUCAAACUACCUGAAGAAGAAGAAGACGUUACACAUAUCCAUCUGCGCUGCAUCAUCGCAUUACCCAUUGAUCGGUUGUGAUUCAACUCUUAAUAGGAAGACAGUAGAACUGGUGUUGGUAUCUGUUUUUAGAUCAGCUUAUAUGUAUCUUGUUGCUAAAAAGGGAAUGUUUAGAAGUGAGAUUAAUGGGAUUAUUCUGACAUGGAUUUCAUAUGGUUACCUGUUUUGCAGUUGACUGUGAUUGAAGGUCGAUUAAUCAUUACUGGGUACUCGAUGGGAGGAUCCGUUGCUUCUCUCUUCACCUUAUGCCUGUUAGAAGUCAUCAAUUUAUCAAAACCCAAAUGCCGCCCCAUUUGUAUCACCUUUGGUUCACCCCUCAUAGGCGACUUUGGCCUCCAACACUCCAAUUGGAAUUCUUUCUUCUUGCAUGUAGUGUCCAACCAAGAUCUAGUCCCCGGACUCUUCCUCCCAUCCGACAGAUCUCCUCCCACAUCCUCCCAUUCACAAACUACUGGUUACAAGCCCUUUGGGACAUAUCUCUUGUGCUCUGAACUUGGUUGUGCUUGUUUUGACAACUCUGAUUUAAUUUUGGAAUUGCUGAAAGUCAUAUCAUCAGAGGUUGCCAGAGGAUUGCGGGAUGUUGAUUACAGGAAGAUUUUAAGAAACCUCAAGGAGAGGGCAAUCUGCAAGGGACUUCCGCAGGUGGGUGAAAGGUUUGCAAAUCCAUUUUCAGCUGGGAUCAUCAUGGAACUUGAGACGAUUGGAUUUAAUGAAACAAAGGUAAACAGCUUUCUCCCAUCUACUGAUGUUAUGGAACAUGGUUUACACAUCAUUAAAUACUGCAACAACUGCCCUAUUUAGAUUUAGGGCAAUGAUGAAAAUAUCAGUAAUCACGGAUAUAUCAGUAUUUCGAUUUUACGGAUAUAUCGGAUAUAUCGGAGAUAUAUCGGUAGAUAUUUUGAAAAAAAAUAUCGGCAAGCUUAAAAUUGUUAAAAACUCAUGAAAAUAUAAGAAAAUCUCAUAAUAAUAUAAUUAAAAGUAUAAUAGACAUUUUAAAGUUAUUUUAUUGAAAAUUUUGAUAUAUGUAUAACAUGAUUUAUCAUAUUUGAUAAUAAUAUCGUAUGCGUCGAUAAAAAUAUGAAUUUUAUAAGUGUACAUUUAUUAUUAAAUUACACCUAAUAUUAUGAUAUCUGAUUAUAAUAUGUCUAAUUUUAAAAUAUAUAUUAGUAUUAAAAUAUGAUCCAUUUAAUUCAAUUGUAUUAAACAAUAUAAAAUAAAUAAUGAUAUAUAUAUAUAUAUAUAUAAUUUUUUAAUAUUUAAUUAAUUAUUAAUGAUAUUAAAAACAUUAUGAAGAAAAUUAUAUAAUUUUUUAAUUUUUGGUAAUUAAUUAAAAGACUUUGCAUUUAAUUAUAAAUUAAUUAUAAUUAAUUUACUCUUUAAAAUAUUCUUAUAUUUUCUUUAUAUAAUGAAUUUAAGUAUAUAUAUAGUUGUUGCAUAUUAUAUAUUAAAGGACAACUUAGCCCAAGUGGUAAGCGAGUGAACCCCAAUGUGAGGCAUUGUAGCACGUGCACUGUAGCAUCACUGUAGCGACUCUGACUUUCGUUGACCCGCAUUGACUACACGAUAUAUCGGAGAAAAAUCACUGAUUUAUCGCCAAAUCACCAAUAAAUCGCCGAUUUCUCGCGAUAAAUACCAAAAUAUAGUGUCGAAACCCUUCGAUACACGAUUUUUCGGCGCAUUUUCUUACUUGGAUUUACCUUUUUGUUCUUUGGGAUCUUCCAUGACUCAUUUUUUAAUGCCAUUUUAUUUUCCUUUUUGUUUCUAAAUUUUUAAAAAAUCGUUUUCACUUCUUUUUUUUAAGAAAAUUUUGGCAAAUUUUGAAAAUAUAAUAUUAGUGUUUUCACUUCUUUCUUUUUUUUUUUUUUCUUUUUUUUUUUAAACUCAAUUUUCUAAAAAAUGAAAAUAGAAAAACAUUGUCUAAACAUGUUUGUAAACUUAAUUUUAUUUUUUUAUAAAUGAAAAAAAAAAUCUAAAUGAGUAAGGCUUUAUUAAUUUUAAUUUUUUUCUUUUCCUUAUAUUUUCUUAUUUUAUUCCAAAUUUUCUUGCAACCAAACAUAAUCUAAAUGUUUACAACUUUUAUUGUAAGGAAUGAAUGACACUACUUUGUGAACUUUUAUGAUAAUAUUUUGAAUCAUAAAUUGUGUUUUUUUUAGUAAUAUCAAUUUUAUUACCAAUGACUUAAUUGUUAAUAACAAAAUAUAAUAUUUAUAAAUAUUUUUAUUCUCAACAGGCUACAAUUUUUACUCUUGUGAUAAAAAAAAUUUUGUCAUAAAUUACACAUUAUGAUGAGUUUUUCUAUUUUCCUUAUCAGCCAAUUCAACAAAUAUCAUAUAUAUUGUAAUGGCUAACAAAUUUUCACAUAAAUUUUUUAUAAGAUAAAGUAGAAUGGAAUUAUUCAAUUUCAAAAAAAAAAAAAAUGGUACCUAAUGAAAAAGAUAAAAUAUAUAGAUCAUCUCGAAGAAAUCAGGAAAGAUAAAUGAUGAGACCAUAUAUAGGACCCUUGAUGGAGACUAUUUUAAUUGAAGUGGUGUGCUCCUUCCGACUCAGAACAUGUUCAGCAUUGCACACAAACUAACAUCGUCGAUCUUGAGUAUGAAAAAGGUGAUUAGAUUCCAAGGUUGUCGUUUGUCCCAACUCCUCAUAUUAGAGGUGAUGCUCAAGCUAACGUGCCUCGCAGUUGAGCCCCGGCCAAUCGGUCUAAUAUGCUUUUCCAAUGGUGAGUUUCACUGCCACCAUGUAUUACAUUAAUUCCGAUAGCGCACAAGUUGUGUUUGUGCUAUUGCUUUUUGCCCUCACAAACAUAUACACAAGAGACAUUCAGACCAGAUCUGUUCUACCAUCCUCUAGGAAAGCAUUGUAGGUCAUUUGAAAUUGGGAUUUCAGCACCAGAGUCAAAUUGCCUUCCUUCCUGAAAGAUGAGCAUUUUUUAUACUCUUACAUCGGCUUUUAUGGAAAUGAAAUCAGCUUCUCAUUCUGUUACAUUUUUCAAUUUUGCUGCCUAUAACUGCUCACUGCCUGUUUGUGAGACAUUAUCCAGAUUUUCCCUGAUCAAUUAUAGAGAGGUCAUUGGACUCAUCCAUGAUUGGAAUUUCCUGUUAUCAUUAUUUGCAAAUCAUCAACCAUUUGUCAUGAUAUCUUAAGUUAAGCUGAGCACGAAUUUCAGCUAAGAUCCUCAGAACUAGAAAUAUGCACUGCAGGUAUUACUUGAUAUGUGAAUAUCCAAUACAAUAUUUUUUUACUAAGAGGAAUACGAAUUUGAAACACUUUCCAAUAAUUUAUCAAGUCAUAUUUUCGUGCUGUCGUGAUACAUGUGUCUACUGUAUGCAUGGCUUUUCUUUUCUACACAUGCCUUUAUCUUUGCACAUGACUCUUUUGAUACACGCCAGCAUCAAGGCAAUUGCCUAAAUCUAAAUCACAUCCUUUGUGUCACGUCUUCCUUGUUACCACGGUCCUCUUGUACACCAUGGUCCCUUAAUGUAACUUGUGCCACAAGCCCUUUGUGCAUGAAUUCAAAUUGUUCAAUCAUUUCGCCAUUUACACCUUUUAAGGUCCAAUAAGCGUAUACAAGAGACUACACUCAUUCUAGAUGAUAAAGUACAUUCAACUAACUACUCUUGCUAAUGAGCAUAUCCAAGUCAAUACAUAAGAUUAAUUAUUACAUAUGGUAAUUGAAACCCUGUUUAAAUAAAUAGUGACACAAAUAUAAAAAAUAUAUAUAUUUAAAAAUAAAUAAAUAACAAUUUAGAGAAUUUCAUAACUUAGUAUCAAACCUAUUGUAGGAAAGAGUAUUAUACAAUGUAGGGUUUAGGAUCAAAGUUAACCUAAGAUCAAUUUUAAGUUUUAAGACCAAUUCAAAUUCAAAACUAAGGUUUUAAGUUUCAAAAAUAUAUCUCUUAAACCAAUUAAAUAGAAAAAAGAAAAUUACAAAGAAAAUUUCUUCCUCAUCGGUUUCUUUUAUCUUGAAAACUAAAGGAAAUAUAUAUCAAUAUUUGAGAUGGAAAUUCAUAAUCUUAGAAACACAAAGAACAAAGAGAGUAUGAAGAGACCAUACCAUGAGAGAUUUUCCAAAAGGUUGGUAAACCAUGGUAAUCACCUUUGAGUUUUGCUGAGAAAAACAAACCUUAAUUUUUAUUUUUAUUUUUUUAUCAUUUUUUCUCUUGUGGUGUACAUUUAAGAAAAACAAAUCUUAAAAAAAAAAAAAAAAAAACCAAAUAAUGCCAGAAUUUGGGUUGAGAAACACCCAAAAGAUAGUGGCCCAAUACAUGUGCCUAAGAAAAUCUUCAUGAGCCGAUAAACAUAGUCACAAAACUAGUAACAGCCUUGUAGCCAUAGUUGGUGUAGUAUGAGCAAGUGGGGUAUGAAGUAGGUAGGUGAGUAUUGCAAUGAAAUUUCCAGCACUGCUUCCUGAAUUAAGAAAUCACAUACCCAAGUCUUAGUCGUCGUCGUCGUACCGUGUGAGAACCGGGAAGAAUCUUUGCUCGUAGAGUGGCUUUUGUAGUCUUUCUUUAACAAUUACAAGUUAUCUGAAUUCCCUUCAUCCUCCUAUAUAAUAUUGUUUUUGGUCUUGUUCUUGUUGCAUUGUGGCUAGGCAUCUCCAUGGAAGGAAGGAGGAUGAAUCAAGUUCCUUUGUAUGAAUCAAUUUCUCUGCUCUUUUUCUUUUCAAUCCGUGAAUCGAAUCAUUGCUUAGUUCUUGCUUUAAUUUCUCCAUUUUCUGUUGGGUCUUUGACUGCAGGUUUAGCUCUGCAAGAGAACUGGGAAAUUUAAUGGUGACCUCCAAUCUAAUCGACUCUGCUUUGACUAAAAUUCUUGAGCUUCAAAGAGACCAAACAGCCUUGCUUUCCUCCGUUCAAUACAGAGUUUUUUAUCCAUCUCCCAAGUGCACAAUUGUAGCUUUUGUCUCUUCACCUGACUGCACUCAAAACCCUCUUCCUGGACAAGGAGAUUUAGUUCCGUCUCCUCUCUUUGACUUCCUCUGCACCGAAGAAUACAAGUCCGUCUCCAUUAACAGAGCUGCAUUAACCCUCUUUACCUCUUUCCACGAUCAUCUCUCUGGACUAAAAACUCAGGUCAAAAUAUGAUAGUUGUUUUUAUUUUCGUUUCCUUUUUGUUAACAAUUGUGAGACAUGAAACAGCUUGACCAUGAGAUCUCUCUCAUAGAGUCAAACUACCUGAAGAAGAAGAAGACGUUACACAUAUCCAUCUGCGUUGCAUCAUCGCAUUACCCAUUGAUCGGUUGUGAUUCAACUCUUAAUAGGAAGACAGUAGAACUGGUGUUGGUAUCUGUUUUUAGAUCAGCUUAUAUGUAUCUUGUUUCUAAAAAAGGUAAGUUUAGAAGUGAGAUUAAUGGGAUUAUUCUGACAUGGAUUCCAUAUGGUUACCUGUUUUGCAGUUGACUCAGAUUGAAGGUCAAUUAAUCAUCACUGGGCACUCCCUGGGAGGAUCCGUUGCUUCUCUCUUCACCUUAUGCCUGCUAGAUGGAAAUUUAUUAAAACCCAACUGCCGCCCCUUUUGUAUCACCUUUGGUUCACCCCUCAUCGGCGGCUUUGGCCUCCAACACUCCAUAUGGAAUUCUUUCUUCCUGCAUGUAGUGUCUAACCAAGACCCAGUCCCCGGUCUCUUCCUCCCAUCUGGCAGAGGCAGAUCUACGCCCACAUCCUCCCAUUCACAAACUACCGGUUACAAGCCCUUUGGGACAUAUCUCUUGUGCUCUGAACUUGGUUGUGCUUGUUUGGAAAAGCCUGAUUUAAUUUUGGGAUUGCUGAAAGUCAGAUCAUCCGAGGUUGCCGGAGGAUUGCAGGAUGUUGAUUAUGGGGAGAUUUUAAGAAACCUCAAGGAGAGGGCAAUCUGCAAGGGACUUCAGCAGGUGGGUGAAAGGUUUGCAGAUCCUUUUACAGCUGGGAUCAUCAUGGACCUUGAGAUAAUUGGAUUUGAUCAAACAAAGGUAAACAGCUAGCUUUCUCCCAUCUAAUGAUGUUAUGAAACAUGGUUUACACUUCACCAAAUACUGCAACAACUGCCCUAUUUAGAUUUGCCGUCUUGUUCUUUGGGAUCUUCCAUAACUAGACUCAUUUUUUAAUUUCAUGGCAGCUGCUGCAGCAUAACAUUGAUAUCGAGACUGUGAUAAGCACAAUGGAAGAGGAAGCCAGAAACCCAACCAAAAAAAAUAAAGCUUUCGAUGCCAAGAUUCUGAAUCACAAAAAAAAAGACAUGGCCGGGCUAGAAUGGUAUAAGAAGAAAUCAAAAGAUCUGAACAAGGGUUACUACGACUGCUUCAAAAACCAGGGGUCAAAAAGGGACAUUAAAAUUGAACAGUAUGGGGGACACCUCACAUUAUACUGGAAAGACAUGGUUGCACAAGUACAGAGGAAGCCCCAGAAGGAAGGAGCAACAUUUCGAACCCGUUGGCUCUAUGCAGGGACGGUUUAUAGAAGAAUGGUUGAACCACUGGACAUUGCUGCCUUCUACGUAGAGGGUGGAACAGACUACAUGAAGAAUGAAAGAUCUCUUCAUUACAAGCUGUUGCAGCAAUGGUAUGAGGAAGAUGUGAAACCCCCCUCUAAGGAUAAGCUUGAUUCCAAGAAGCAAAAGGUGUCUGGUAUCCUAACUGAGGAUUCUUGCUUUUGGGCACAUGUGGAGGAGGCUAUCUUGUCAUGCGAAUUGCUUAAGAGUGAAAACUGUACUCUUGAGCAGGAAAAAUCAUCAUGGGAUAAUCUGGUUAAGUUCGAGGAGUAUGUAAUGGAACAGAUUAACAACUAUGCAGUGUCCCCUGAGAUUUUCUUGGGGGAAAGCAGCUUCAUGAAAUGGUGGGGACUGUAUGAGGGCUACAUAUAUGCUCGCAGUAAUUCCCAUAGGUCACCAUUGAUCAGCUUUAUGAAGAACGGUAGUUAUACAGAGUAUCGUUAGAGGGGUAAUCCAGUUUGUGUGUUGUGUGUAUUGUUUUGUGAGCAUUCAAUGGAUAGAACUAGAAAGAGUGUGACCUUUUUCCUUUUUUUCUUCUAGUUGCUGCCCAUAUUCUCAGCACUAUUUUCUUCCUUCUUUUCCUCAGUUUUUUCUUAAGAAAUGAAUAUUAUGAUGUUGCUGGGAUGCACUUUCAUUUUUGUUCCAUUACAUUGUGUUUUAUUCAUAUCCUAAACAAAUAAAUGUAAACAAGAAAAUCAAAUAAGACUUCAAAGAGUCUGUUCCUUUUAAAGCAAGGGAAAAAAAGGACAUGUUUGUUUACUUCCACAGCUGGGUAGAUUCAACUCCACCAAAAUUGGCAACAACUUCCCAUUGAAAAAUUCCUUCUAAGCUUGAAUGACAUAAAACUAGAUAUGUUCCAGCUAGAAUGGUACAAAAAAGAAAUCAAAAGAUGAGCACAAUGGGUUAUUAUGACAGCUUUAGAAACCAUCUUACAACACAUCCAUCAGAAUUUAGACUAUUCAUAGAAACAUUCUUAACAUGUAAAUCUACUAUUGCCAUGCACGUCAACAUAGAAUUUCUAAAAUGAUUGAAUAAAAUAAAUAAAACAAAAGAAACCCUUCCAAGAGAAUUUCAUAAUCUAAUGUCAAAUCUAUUACGAAGAUGAACAUGUAAAAUUUAAGGUUUAUAAUCAAAGUCGACUUGAAUCUGAGUUUUAAAACCAAUUUGCAGUUUUUAAGUUUGGAGACUAGAUCUCUUAAACCAAUUAAAUGUAAAAAACUAAAAAGAAAACUUCUUCAAAUUUUGAAAUGAGAAUGAGAAUGCAAUUCCUAACUAGUUUCUUCAUCAAAAAUCCCGAAAAAAAAAAAAAAAGAAGAGAGAGAGAGACCAUAGACGCCAGUGUUUGGGUUUAGAACCACCCAAGAGAGAGUAGUCCAAUAUAUGGGCUUAAGAAAAUCCUCAUGGGCCUAAGCUAAGACUAGGAACAAUCUUGUAUCCGUGGUUGGUUUAGUAUGAGCAUGUGUACUGCGAAGGAAGUAGCUGAGAAUUGCAAUGGAAUUUCCAGUACUGCUUCCUGAACGAACAAAUCGCAUACCCAAGAUUUGGUCGUCAACGCCAUGCUGGGUGAGAACCGGGGAAGCAUCUUCGCUCGUUGACGAGCUUUUGUAGUCCUUCUUUAACAAUUAUAAGGCAUCUGAAUUCCCUUCAUCCUCCCACACCAUUGUUUUUGGUCUUGUUCUUGUUGCUUUGUGACUACGCAUCUCCAUGGAAGGAAGGAGGAUGAACCAAGUUCCUUUGUAUGCAUCAAUUUUACUGUUUUUUUUUUCCUUUUUAAUCUUUGGAUCGAAUCAUUGCUUAGUUCUUGCUUAAUUUCUCCAUUUUAUGUUGGGUCUUUGAUUGCAGGUUUAGCUCUGCGCGAGAACUGGGAAAUUUAAUUGUGACCUCCAAUCUAAUCGACUCUGCUUUGACUAAAAUUCUUGAGCUUCAAAGAGACCAAACAGCCUUGCCUUCCCCCGUUCAAUACAGAGUUUUUUAUCCAUCUCCCAAGUGCACAAUUGUAGCUUUUGUCUCUUCACCUGACUGCACUCAAAACCCUCUUCCUGGACAAGGAGAUUUAGUUCCCUCUCCUCUCUUUGACUUCCUCUGCACCGAAGAAUACCCUUCCGUCUCCAUUAACGGAGCCGCAUUAACCCUCUUUACCUCUCUCUACGAUCAUCUCUCUGGACUAAUAGAUGAGGUCAAAAUCUGAUACUUGUUUUAAUUUACGUUAACUUUUCGUUAACAAUUGUGAGACACGUAUAUAUAUAUAUAUAUAUAUAUAUCUUGUGGAUAAAAGGAAAGUUUACAAGUGAGAAUAGUGGCAUUUUUCUGACAGAUUUCACACCGUUGCUUGUUUUGCACUUGACUGUGAUUGAAGGUCGAUUAAUCAUCACUGGGCACUCGAUGGGAGGAUCCGUUGCUUCUCUCUUCACCUUAUGCCUGCUAGAAGUCAUUAAUAUAUCAAAACCCAAAUGCCGCCCCAUUUGCAUCACAUUUGGUUCACCCCUCAUAGGCGACUUUGGCUUCCAACACUCCAAUUGGAAUUCUUUCUUCUUGCAUGUAGUGUCCAACCAAGAUCUAGUCCCCGGACUCUUCCUCCCAUCCGGCAGAUCUCCUCCCACAUCCUCCCAUUCACAAACUACUGGUUACAAGCCCUUUGGGACAUAUCUCUUGUGCUCUGAACUUGGUUGUGCUUGUUUUGACAACCCUGAUUUAAUUUUGGAAUUGCUGAAAGUCAUAUCAUCAGAGGUUGCCGGAGGAUUGCGGGAUGUUGAUUACAGGAAGAUUUUAAUAAACCUCAAGGAGAGGGCAAUCUUCAAGGGACUUCAGCAGGUGGGUGAAAGGUUUGCAGAUCCCUUGUCAGCUGGGAUCAUCAUGGACCUUGAGAUAAUUGGAUUUGAUCAAACAAAGGUAAACAGCUUUCUCCCAAUUAAUGAUGUAGCAUGGUUUACACUCAACUUCACCAAAACCUGCAACAACUGCCCUAUUUAGAUUUGCCUUCCGGUUCUUUGGGUUCUUCUAUAACUUCUCAUUUUUUAAAUCCAUGGCAGCUGUUGCGGCACAACAUUGAUAUCAACACUGUGAUAAGGAUACUGGGAGCGGAAGCCAGAAUCCUAGCCCACAAAAAUAAAGCUUCUGAUGCCAAGAAACUGAAUGACAUAAAAAUACACAUGGCCCAGCUAGAAUGGUAUAAGAAGAAAUCAAAAGAUCUGAACAAGGGUUACUACGACUGCUUCAAAAACCAGGGGUUAAAAAGGGACAUUAAAAUUGAACAGUAUAGGGGACACCUCACAAUAUACUGGAAAGACAUGGUUGCACAAGUACAGAGGAAGCCCCAGAAGGAAGGAGCAUCAUUUCGAACCAGUUGGCUCUAUCCAGGGACAACUUAUAGAAGAAUGGUUGAACCACUGGACAUUGCUGCCUUCUACAGAGAGGGUAGAACAGACUACAUAAACAAUGGAAGAUCUCCUCAUUACAAGCUGUUGCAGCAAUGGUAUGAGGAAGAUGUGAAGCCCCCAUCCAGAGAUAAGCUCGAUUCCAAGAAACUAAAGGUGUCUGGUAUCCUAACUGAGGAUUCUUUGUUUUGGGCACAUGUGGAGGAGGCUCUCUUGUCAUGCGAAUCGCUCAAGAGUGCAAACUCUACUCUUGAGCAGAGAAAAUCAUCAUGGGAUAAUCUGGUUAAGUUUGGGGAGUAUGUAAUGGAACAGAUUGGAAACUAUGCAGUGUCCCCUGAGAUUUUCUUGGGGGAAAGCAGCUUCAUGAAAUGGUGGGGAGUGUAUGAGGACUACAUAGAUGCUUCCAAUAAUUUCUAUGGGUCACCAUUGAUCAACUUUAUGAAGGACCGUAGUUAUAGACUGUAUGGUUAGAGGGCAAUCCAGUUUGUGUAUUGUGUUUAUUGUAUUGUGAGCAUUCAAUAGAUAAAACUAGAAAGAGCGUGACCUUUUUAUGACAACUUUAGAAACCAGGGGUUAAAAGAGACAUUACAAAUUGAAUUUUUUGAGAGGAAACCUCAAGAGUAUACUGGGAAGCCAUGGUGGAACAAGUAGAGAGGAAGCUUCGGAAGGAAGGAUCAAUGGUUGAACCACUUGACAUUGUUGCCUACUUCAGGGAGGGUGUAAGAAACAACAUAACCGAGGGAAGAUCUGAACAUUAAACAUUGUACAAUUAUUGUAAAUGUCUUAUACAUUACGUGUGAAAAUACCAAAAAAAAUUAUAUUCAACAUUUAUGUUUGUAUACAAGCAAUAUUUUGGAUAGUUUGAUAUAAAAAACAAAUGAAGAAAACGAAGAAAAACAUACAAAUAUAUUUACAAUGGACAAACUUAUACAAUUAGUGUAAAUGUCUUGUAUAUUUAGUACAAAAGUCUCGUACUUUGUAAAAAUAUAAAAAUAUAGUAUUUGACUUUUAUAUAUGUGUGAAAAUGUAAAAGGAAAAAGAAAAAUAGUUAGAGCAUUUGGUACCGUGAGUGAUGACUUCACCUAAAGAAAGGUUAAUGAAUAUUAUGGUCUCGAUGGAAGAGCGACUCCGGUAAAAUAUAUGGAUUAAAUUGAUGCUUUUCUUUUGACGAUGAAGUAGUUGAGUUAUGAAUACGAGGUUUUGCUAACAACAUUGAAGGCAAGGAUUCCCUAAUAUACUCCAAUUCAUAUUCAAUUUGUAGACCUUCAACUAACUACUCUUGCUAAUGAGCAUAUCCAAGUGAAUACAUAAGAUUAAUUAUUACAUAUGAUAAUUGAAACCCUGUUUAAAUAAAUAGUGACACAAAUAUAAAAAAUAUAUAUAUUUAAAAAUAAAUAAAUAAUAAUUUAGAGAAUUUCAUAACUUAGCAUCAAACCUAUUGUAGGAAAGAGUAUUAUACAAUGUAGGGUUUAGGAUCAAAGUUAACCUAAGAUCAAAUUUAAGUCUUAAGACCAAUUCACAUUCAAAACUAAGGUUUUAAAUUUCAAAAAUAUAUCUCUUAAACCAAUUAAAUGGAAAAAAGAAAAUUACAAAGAAAAUUUCUUCCUCAUCGGUUUCUUUUAUCUUGAAAACUAAAGGAAAUAUAUAUCAAUAUUUGAGAUGGAAAUUCAUAAUCUUAGAAACACAAAGAACAAAGAGAGUAUGAAGAGACCAUACCAUGAGAGAUUUUCCAAAAGGUUGGUAAACCAUGGUAAUCACCUUUGAGUUUUGCUGAGAAAAACAAACCUUAAUUUUUAUUUUUAUUUUUUUAUCAUUUUUUCUCUUGUGGUGUACAUUUAAGAAAAACAAAUCUUAAAAAAAAAAAAAAAAAAACCAAAUAAUGCCAGAAUUUGGGUUGAGAAACACCCAAAAGAUAGUGGCCCAAUACAUGUGCCUAAGAAAAUCUUCAUGAGCCGAUAAACAUAGUCACAAAACUAGGAACAGCCUUGUAGCCAUAGUUGGUGUAGUAUGAGCAAGUGGGGUAUGAAGUAGGUAGGUGAGUAUUGCAAUGAAAUUUCCAGCACUGCUUCCUGAAUUAAGAAAUCACAUACUCAAGUCUUAAUCGUUGUCAUCAUACCGUGUGAGAACCGAGGAAGAAUCUUUGCUCUUAGACUGGAUUUUGUAGUCUUUCUUUAACAAUUACAAGUUAUCUGAAUUCCCUUCAUCCUCCUAUAUAAUAUUGUUUUUGGUCUUGUUCUUGUUGCAUUGUGGCUAGGCAUCUCCAUGGGAGGAAGGAGGAUGAAUCAAGUUCCUUUGUAUGAAUCAAUUUCUCUGCUCUUUUUUUUUUCAAUCCUUGAAUCGAAUCAUUGCUUAGUUCUUGCUUUAAUUUCUCCAUUUUCUGUUGGGUCUUUGAUUGCAGGUUUAGCUCUGCAAGAAAACUGGGAAAUUUAAUUGUGACCUCCAAUCUAAUCGACUCUGCUUUGACUAAAAUUCUUGAGCUUCAAAGAGACCAAACAGCCUUGCCUUCCCCCGUUCAAUACAGAGUUUUUUAUCCAUCUCCCAAGUGCACAAUUGUAGCUUUUGUCUCUUCACCUGACUGCACUCAAAACCCUCUUCCUGGACAAGGAGAUUUAGUUCCCUCUCCUCUCUUUGACUUCCUCUGCACCGAAGAAUACAAGUCCGUCUCCAUUAACAGAGCUGCAUUAACCCUCUUUACCUCUCUCCACGAUCAUCUCUCUGGACUAAAAACUCAGGUCAAAAUAUGAUAGUUGUUUUUAUUUUCGUUUCCUUUUUGUUAACAAUUGUGAGACAUGAAACAGCUUGACCAUGAGAUCUCUCUCAUAGAGUCAAACUACCUGAAGAAGAAGAAGACGUUACACAUAUCCAUCUGCGCUGCAUCAUCGCAUUACCCAUUGAUCGGUUGUGAUUCAACUCUUAAUAGGAAGACAGUAGAACUGGUGUUGGUAUCUGUUUUUAGAUCAGCUUAUAUGUAUCUUGUUGCUAAAAAGGGAAAGUUUAGAAGUGAGAUUAAUGGGAUUAUUCUGACAUGGAUUUCAUAUGGUUACCUGUUUUGCAGUUGACUGUGAUUGAAGGU